Molecule: ribosomal RNA, 301 nt
Filed under: uncultured bacterium
Lineage: Bacteria
Description: partial 16S ribosomal RNA
Rfam family: Bacterial small subunit ribosomal RNA
Source: RNAcentral
CAGCCGCCACGGUAAUACGUAGGGUGCGAGCGUUAAUCGGAAUUACUGGGCGUAAAGCGUGCGCGGGCGGUUUUGUAAGACAGGCGUGAAAUCCCCGGGCUCAACCUGGGAAUGGCGCUUGUGACUGCAAAGCUAGAGUGCGGCAGAGGGGGAUGGAAUUCCGCGUGUAGCAGUGAAAUGCGUAGAUAUGCGGAGGAACACCGAUGGCGAAGGCAAUCCCCUGGGCCUGCACUGACGCUCAUACACGAAAGCGUGGGGAGCAAACAGGAUUAGAUACCCCGGUAGUCCCUGUCUCUUAUAA